CCUACGGGAGGCAGCAGUGGGGAAUAUUGCACAAUGGGGGAAACCCUGAUGCAGCGACGCCGCGUGAGUGAAGAAGUAUUUCGGUAUGUAAAGCUCUAUCAGCAGGAACGAGACAAGACGGUACCUGACUAAGAAGCCCCGGCUAACUACGUGCCAGCAGCCGCGGUAAUACGGAGGGGGCAAGCGUUAUCCGGAAUCACUGGGUGUAAAGGGAGCGUAGACGGCUGAGCAAGCCUGAAGUGAAAGGCGGGGGGCCAACCCCCGGACUGCUUUGGGAACUGUACGGCUGGAGUGCAGGAGAGGUAAGUGGAAUUCCUAGUGUAGCGGUGAAAUGCGUAGAUAUUAGGAGGAACACCAGUGGCGAAGGCGGCUUACUGGACUGUAACUGACGUUGAGGCUCGAAAGCGUGGGGAGCAAACAGGAUUAGAUACCCCUGUAGUC
Molecule: ribosomal RNA, 441 nt
Filed under: uncultured bacterium
Lineage: Bacteria
Description: partial 16S ribosomal RNA
Rfam family: Bacterial small subunit ribosomal RNA
Source: RNAcentral